RNAcentral lists this ribosomal RNA (497 nucleotides) under uncultured bacterium. RNAcentral describes it as "partial 16S ribosomal RNA". It matches the Rfam family "Bacterial small subunit ribosomal RNA", at positions 28 to 507 of the family's 1533-position model. The record is from RNAcentral.
GACGAACGCUGGCGGCGUGCCUAAUACAUGCAAGUUGAGCGCUGAAGGUUGGUACUUGUACCGACUGGAUGAGCAGCGAACGGGUGAGUAACGCGUGGGGAAUCUGCCUUUGAGCGGGGGACAACAUUUGGAAACGAAUGCUAAUACCGCAUAAAAACUUUAAACACAAGUUUUAAGUUUGAAAGAUGCAAUUGCAUCACUCAAAGAUGAUCCCGCGUUGUAUUAGCUAGUUGGUGAGGUAAAGGCUCACCAAGGCGAUGAUACAUAGCCGACCUGAGAGGGUGAUCGGCCAAAUUGGGACUGAGACACGGCCCAAACUCCUACGGGAGGCAGCAGUAGGGAAUCUUCGGCAAUGGAAGAAAGUCUGACCGAGCAACGCCGCGUGAGUGAAGAAGGUUGUCGGAUCGUAAAACUCUGUUGGUAGAGAAGAACGUUGGUGAGAGUGGAAAGCUCAUCAAGUGACGGUAACUACCCAGAAAGGGACGGCUAACUACGUG